GUGACUGUAGUUUAACGGCCGCGGUAUCUUGACCGUGCGAAGGUAGCGCAAUCACUUGUCUUUUAAAUGGAGACCUGUAUGAAUGGCAUAACGAGGGCUUAACUGUCUCCUCUUUCAGGUCAAUGAAAUUGAUCUCCCCGUGCAGAGGCGGGGAUACCUACAUAAGACGAAGAAGACCCUAUGGAGCUUUAGACACAAGAGCAAAACAUGUUAAGCACCCCUCAUCAAGGAUAAGAACCGGAUGUAUGCUUGCCCUAAUGUCUUUGGUUGGGGCGACCGCGGAGAAAAACACAACCUCCGCGUGGACCGGGAGCACCCCUAAACUCCCUCCUAAAGCCAAGAGCCACACCUCUAAGCAACAAAACUUUUGACCUAAAUAGAUCCGGCAACGCCGAUCAACGAACCGAGUUACCCUAGGGAUAACAGCGCAAUCCUCUUCCAGAGCCCAUAUCGACAAGGGGGUUUACGACCUCGAUGUUGGAUCAGGACAUCCUAAUGGUGCAGCCGCUAUUAAGGGUUCGUUUGUUCAACGAUUAAAGUCCUACGUGA
Molecule: ribosomal RNA, 549 nt
Filed under: Sacura boulengeri
Lineage: Eukaryota; Metazoa; Chordata; Actinopteri; Perciformes; Anthiadidae
Description: partial large subunit ribosomal RNA
Rfam family: Bacterial large subunit ribosomal RNA
Source: RNAcentral